This 638-nucleotide ribosomal RNA is filed under the name uncultured Bacteroidales bacterium. RNAcentral's name for it is "bacterial SSU rRNA". It matches the Rfam family "Bacterial small subunit ribosomal RNA", at positions 98 to 735 of the family's 1533-position model. The record is from RNAcentral. Lineage: Bacteria; Pseudomonadati; Bacteroidota; Bacteroidia; Bacteroidales.
GCGCACGGGUGAGUAACACGUAUCCAACCUGCCCUUUACUCGGGGAUAGCCUUUCGAAAGAAAGAUUAAUGCCCGAUGGCAUAAUGAUUCCGCAUGGUUUCAUUAUUAAAGGAUUCCGGUAAAGGAUGGGGAUGCGUUCCAUUAGGUUGUUGGUGAGGUAACGGCUCACCAAGCCUUCGAUGGAUAGGGGUUCUGAGAGGAAGGUCCCCCACAUUGGAACUGAGACACGGUCCAAACUCCUACGGGAGGCAGCAGUGAGGAAUAUUGGUCAAUGGGCGUUAGCCUGAACCAGCCAAGUAGCGUGAAGGAUGAAGGCUCUAUGGGUCGUAAACUUCUUUUAUAUAAGAAUAAAGUGCAGUAUGUAUACUGUUUUGUAUGUAUUAUAUGAAUAAGGAUCGGCUAACUCCGUGCCAGCAGCCGCGGUAAUACGGAGGAUCCGAGCGUUAUCCGGAUUUAUUGGGUUUAAAGGGAGCGUAGGUGGACUGGUAAGUCAGUUGUGAAAGUUUGCGGCUCAACCGUAAAAUUGCAGUUGAUACUGUCAGUCUUGAGUACAGUAGAGGUGGUCGGAAUUCGUGGUGUAGCGGUGAAAUGCUUAGAUAUCACGAAGAACUCCGAUUGCGAAGGCAGCUCACUGGACU